GCUUGAAUGUCAAAAUUGGAAAAUCAUUUGUUUAUUGUUUUAUUUUGUUUUAAUUUUUGUUUGUUUAGUUUUGUUUUAUUUUUUAAGUAACAUUGAUGAAGUUGUGCAUGUUCUGGUUAGUAUCUGCUUUUCCAGUGGUCUUUCCUACUGUCAAAAUCGAGAAAGUUGCAAAUUAACGAAUGGAUCGCCGUGAAGCCGAUGUAUAUGGAGGACAGCCGAAUCUAAAUUUAAGUCACGAGGUGCGCAUCUAUUUGCUGAGCGCAAUGUUCGCCCUCGCAGCCCUGAUCCAAUGGAUACUCAUUGGAUACUUUUCGGAUUGGCGCAAAUACAAAAUGCCCCAGGAGCGCUAUGGCUUCUGGCUGAUGGCCACAUUCUUCGGCAUCUGUUUGCUGUCCUGUACGCCGUGCGGUCGUCGCUGUCCCUGGAACGUGAUGCUCGUUAUAAUCAUUGUUGAAUCGUCUACGCUCUACAUUGCGGUCGAGCAGCAGAAUUCAAGGGGAUUUAUGGUCAAUAUAUAUGCUGUCACAAUUGUGUUCUUGGUGGUCAUCACAUCCAUCUUCUAUGGUGCGUACUUUCCAAUGCGUAUGGUGCCAGGUGAUCUGAUGCUCAGCCUGGGCGUCGCCAUUGCCAAUAUAAUGAUGAUAUUGUUCUUCCUCAAUGCGUUCAUCAUCAAGAACGAUACUAUAUUUACUAUAGUGCGAAACUAUUUUGCCUUCACAGCGAUCACAAUGAUCAUGUAUACGGCCACCAUAAUACACGAUCGGCAAUCCGAUGUGCCCAAACACGAAUAUAUCUAUCUCAGUGUUUUGCUCUUCUUCGGCCAAAUGAUACUCCACGAACGCAUCCUGGCCAUUUCCGCGAGUACGACACGCUCACAGGCAUGCGAGUCAACAAAAGCCAUUUAGGUCUAUUUCAAAACUCAAGUCUUGGCAAAAAUAUUGUAAGGCAGCUCUUCAGCCUGGCCCAUGGAUGGGUUGCGUUUGGACAGCAAGAAGAUUGUAUUUGUAGGACACGAUAACCAGCAGGGAAUUACGUGAAUCCAUUUGAAAUAGACGAAGAUAUGCAGAAAUGUGAAGCAUAUAUGAGG
This 1087-nucleotide unclassified non-coding RNA is filed under the name Drosophila mojavensis. RNAcentral describes it as "GI17420". Lineage: Eukaryota; Metazoa; Arthropoda; Insecta; Diptera; Drosophilidae. The record is from RNAcentral.